RNAcentral lists this ribosomal RNA (501 nucleotides) under uncultured bacterium. RNAcentral describes it as "partial 16S ribosomal RNA". It matches the Rfam family "Bacterial small subunit ribosomal RNA", at positions 30 to 523 of the family's 1533-position model. The record is from RNAcentral.
AUUGAACGCUGGCGGCAGGCUUAACACAUGCAAGUCGAGCGGAGAUGAGGUGCUUGCACCUUAUCUUAGCGGCGGACGGGUGAGUAAUGCUUAGGAAUCUGCCUAUUAGUGGGGGACAACAUUCCGAAAGGAAUGCUAAUACCGCAUACGUCCUACGGGAGAAAGCAGGGGAUCUUCGGACCUUGCGCUAAUAGAUGAGCCUAAGUCGGAUUGGCUAGUUGGUGGGGUAAAGGCCUACCAAGGCGACGAUCUGUAGCGGGUCUGAGAGGAUGCUCCGCCACACUGGGACUGAGACACGGCCCAGACUCCUACGGGAGGCAGCAGUGGGGAAUAUUGGACAAUGGGGGGAACCCUGAUCCAGCCAUGCCGCGUGUGUGAAGAAGGCCUUAUGGUUGUAAAGCACUUUAAGCGAGGAGGAGGCUACUGAGACUAAUACUCUUGGAUAGUGGACGUUACUCGCAGAAUAAGCACCGGCUAACUCUGUGCCAGCCGCCGCGGUAA